CCUACGGGUGGCAGCAGUGGGGAAUAUUGCACAAUGGGGGCAACCCUGAUGCAGCGACGCCGCGUGAGUGAAGAAGUAUUUCGGUAUGUAAAGCUCUAUCAGCAGGGAAGAAAUAGCGACCUUUGGUUCGCCAUACGGUACCUGAUUAAGAAGCCCCGGCUAACUACGUGCCAGCAGCCGCGGUAAUACGUGGGGGGCAAGCGUUAUCGGGAUUUACUGGGUGUAAGGGAGCGUAGACGGCAGCGCAAGUCUGAAGUGAAAUGCCGGGGCUUAACCCCGGAACUGCUUUGGAUACUGUGAAGCUAGAGUGCAGGAGAGGUAAGUGGAAUUCCUAGUGUAGCGGUGAAAUGCGUAGAUAUGAGGAGGAACACCAGUGGCGAAGGCAGCUUACUGGACUGUAACUGACGUUGAGGCUCGAAAGCGUGGGGAGCAAACAGGAUUAGAUACCCGAGUAGUC
RNAcentral lists this ribosomal RNA (457 nucleotides) under uncultured bacterium. Its description in RNAcentral is "partial 16S ribosomal RNA". It matches the Rfam family "Bacterial small subunit ribosomal RNA", at positions 338 to 795 of the family's 1533-position model. The record is from RNAcentral.